RNAcentral lists this ribosomal RNA (571 nucleotides) under Debaryomyces hansenii. RNAcentral describes it as "partial large subunit ribosomal RNA". It matches the Rfam family "Eukaryotic large subunit ribosomal RNA", at positions 86 to 664 of the family's 3401-position model. Lineage: Eukaryota; Fungi; Ascomycota; Pichiomycetes; Serinales; Debaryomycetaceae. The record is from RNAcentral.
ACGGCGAGUGAAGCGGCAAAAGCUCAAAUUUGAAAUCUGGCACCUUCGGUGUCCGAGUUUGUAAUUUUGAAGAAGGUAACUUUGGAGUUGGCUCUUGUCUAUGUUCCUUGGAACAGGACGUCACAGAGGGUGAGAAUCCCGUGCGAUGAGAUGCCCAAUUCUAUGUAAAGUGCUUUCGAAGAGUCGAGUUGUUUGGGAAUGCAGCUCUAAGUGGGUGGUAAAUUCCAUCUAAAGCUAAAUAUUGGCGAGAGACCGAUAGCGAACAAGUACAGUGAUGGAAAGAUGAAAAGAACUUUGAAAAGAGAGUGAAAAAGUACGUGAAAUUGUUGAAAGGGAAGGGCUUGAGAUCAGACUUGGUAUUUUGCGAUCCUUUCCUUCUUGGUUGGGUUCCUCGCAGCUUACUGGGCCAGCAUCGGUUUGGAUGGUAGGAUAAUGACUAAGGAAUGUGGCUCUACUUCGGUGGAGUGUUAUAGCCUUGGUUGAUACUGCCUGUCUAGACCGAGGACUGCGUCUUUUGACUAGGAUGUUGGCAUAAUGAUCUUAAGCCACCCGUCUUGAAACACGGAACCAA